UGGGGAAUAUUGGACAAUGGGGGAAACCCUGAUCCAGCCAUGCCGCGUGAGUGAAGAAGGCCCGAGGGUUGUAAAGCUCUUUCAGCGGGGAAGAUGAUGACGGUACCCGCAGAAGAAGCCCCGGCUAACUCCGUGCCAGCAGCCGCGGUAAUACGGAGGGGGCUAGCGUUGUUCGGAAUUACUGGGCGUAAAGGGCAUGUAGGCGGGUCGGCCAGUCAGGCGUGAAAGCCCCGGGCUCAACCUGGGAACUGCGCUUGAUACUGCCGACCUAGAGUCCGGGAGAGGGUAGUGGAAUUCCCAGUGUAGAGGUGAAAUUCGUAGAUAUUGGGAAGAACACCAGUGGCGAAGGCGGCUACCUGGACCGGUACUGACGCUGAGGUGCGAAAGCGUGGGGAGCAAACAGGAUUAGAUACCCCCGUAGUCC
This 424-nucleotide ribosomal RNA is filed under the name uncultured prokaryote. RNAcentral's name for it is "bacterial SSU rRNA". It matches the Rfam family "Bacterial small subunit ribosomal RNA", at positions 355 to 796 of the family's 1533-position model. The record is from RNAcentral.